Molecule: ribosomal RNA, 387 nt
Filed under: uncultured bacterium
Lineage: Bacteria
Description: bacterial SSU rRNA
Rfam family: Bacterial small subunit ribosomal RNA
Source: RNAcentral
AUUGAACGCUGGCGGCAUGCCUUACACAUGCAAGUCGAACGGUAACGCGGGGCAACCUGGCGACGAGUGGCGAACGGGUGAGUAACACAUCGGAACGUGCCCAGUAGUGGGGGAUAGCCCGGCGAAAGCCGGAUUAAUACCGCAUACGACCUAAGGGUGAAAGCAGGGGAUCGCAAGACCUUGCGCUAUUGGAGCGGCCGAUGUCAGAUUAGGUAGUUGGUGGGGUAAAAGCCUACCAAGCCGACGAUCUGUAGCUGGUCUGAGAGGACGACCAGCCACACUGGGACUGAGACACGGCCCAGACUCCUACGGGAGGCAGCAGUGGGGAAUUUUGGACAAUGGGCGCAAGCCUGAUCCAGCCAUGCCGCGUGAGUGAAGAAGGCCUUC